Molecule: ribosomal RNA, 802 nt
Filed under: Uraecha angusta
Lineage: Eukaryota; Metazoa; Arthropoda; Insecta; Coleoptera; Cerambycidae
Description: partial 12S ribosomal RNA
Source: RNAcentral
AAUGUUACAAUUUAAUUUAUUUUAGUAUUAAUAUAUAUAAAUAAUUAAAUUUUUAAUUUAGAAUUUAUUAGGUGAAAUUUUAAUUUUUAAAAAAAAAUUGUUUUUAUAGUUUAUUUAAUAAAUUUAAUUUUAAACUAGGAUUAGAUACCCUAUUAUUAUAAAUGUAAAUUUUAGCUAGAUUAGUAUUAGUUAUUUUCUUGAAAAUUAAAGAUUUUGGCGGUUUUUUAGUCUAUUCAGAGGAACCUGUUCUGUAAAUGAUAGUCCACGAUUUAAUUUACUUUUUUUAUAGUUUGUAUAUCGUCGUAAUAGAAUAUUUUAUAAGAAUUUGAAUAUUCAAUAUUUAUUUUUUAAUUUAAAUCAGAUCAAGGUAUAGCGGAUAAAAAAGUAGAAAUGGGUUACAUUAAUUUUAAUUAAGGAGUAUAAAUUGUAAAUUGGUAUGAAUAUGGAUUUGAUAGUAAUUAUAAAAAGAUUUUUAUAAUGAUUAUAGCUCUAAAUUAUGCACAUAUUGCCCGUCGCUUUCAUUUUAAGAUGAAAUAAGUCGUAACAUAGUAGGCUUACUGGAAAGUGAGCCUAGAAAGAACAGGCUAGAGUUUGUUAAAAUCGUUUUAUUUACAUUAAAAAGUUAGUUGUUAAAUUCAACUUGGCUUGAUUUUGUAAAUAUUAUUAAUUGUUUUGAGGUUAAAUUUAAUAUUAAAGGAAAUAAUUUUUAUUUAAGUAAUAUUUUUGAAAUAAUUAAGUUUUAUUAUAGAUUAUUAGUAUUGAGAAAGAAUUAUGGAUUAAUAUAAAAAGAAGAAAAUUUAUU